UGAACUAUUGGUGGUAUGUUAAAUAUUGC
RNAcentral lists this small RNA (29 nucleotides) under Bombyx mori (domestic silkworm). Its description in RNAcentral is "ovarian small RNA-30808". The record is from RNAcentral. Lineage: Eukaryota; Metazoa; Arthropoda; Insecta; Lepidoptera; Bombycidae.